AGAGUUUGAUCAUGGCUCAGGAUGAACGCUAGCUACAGGCUUAACACAUGCAAGUCGAGGGGCAUCAGUUUGGUUUGCUUGCAAACCAAAGCUGGCGACCGGCGCACGGGUGAGUAACACGUAUCCAACCUGCCUCAUACUCGGGGAUAGCCUUUCGAAAGAAAGAUUAAUAUCCGAUAGCAUAUAUUUCCCGCAUGGGUUUUAUAUUAAAGAAUUCGGUAUGAGAUGGGGAUGCGUUCCAUUAGUUGUUGGCGGGGUAACGGCCACCAAGACUACGAUGGAUAGGGGUUCUGAGGAGGAAGGUCCCCACAGUUGGAACUGAGACACGGUACCAACUCCUACGGGAGGCA
RNAcentral lists this ribosomal RNA (350 nucleotides) under uncultured bacterium. RNAcentral describes it as "bacterial SSU rRNA". It matches the Rfam family "Bacterial small subunit ribosomal RNA", at positions 8 to 350 of the family's 1533-position model. The record is from RNAcentral.